RNAcentral lists this ribosomal RNA (253 nucleotides) under uncultured bacterium. Its description in RNAcentral is "partial 16S ribosomal RNA". It matches the Rfam family "Bacterial small subunit ribosomal RNA", at positions 524 to 776 of the family's 1533-position model. The record is from RNAcentral.
UACGUAGGUGGCGAGCGUUGUCCGGAUUUACUGGGCGUAAAGGGCUUGUAGGCGGUCCGCUAAGUCUGGUGUGAAAUCUCCCGGCUCAACUGGGAGGGGUCAUCGGAUACUGACGGACUUGAGGGGGGUAGAGGAAAGCAGAAUUCCUGGUGUAGCGGUGAAAUGCGUAGAUAUCAGGAGGAAUACCAGUGGCGAAGGCGGCUUUCUGGGCCUACCCUGACGCUGAGGAGCGAAAGCGUGGGGAGCAAACCGG